Alexandromys fortis (reed vole) is the source of this 2999-nucleotide long non-coding RNA. RefSeq lists it as uncharacterized. The record is from RefSeq and is a predicted model, not a curated record. The transcript has 4 exons. Lineage: Eukaryota; Metazoa; Chordata; Mammalia; Rodentia; Cricetidae.
UUUGUAGGUCUAGAAAGACUUUUUUUUAAAAUUUAAGCUUUUUUAGACUUUACGUGGACAUUCUUGUCUUCAUUUUGGGUGUCAUUUUAUAAGCAGAGAUUGGUCAUCUGUUUCCCAGAAAUCCAUAUCCAAAUAAUCACACAGAGACUAUAUUAAUUAAAACACUGUUUGGUCUGUUAACUAGGGCGUCUUAUUAAUUAACUCUUACAUCUUAAAUUAACCCAUUUCUAUUAAUCUGUGUAUCACUACAGAGCCCUAGUCUACCAGUAAGGUUCUAGUGGUGUCUUUGUCCUUGACAGCUACAAGACCUCUCUUUAACUCCACCUACUUCUAUCUCUGCCUCUCUUCUGAUUUCAUGCCCAGCUUUACUCUGCUAAACCAUUGGCCCAAACAACUUUAUUCAUCAACCAAUAAAAGCAGCACAUAUGCACAUCCAACAUCAUUGUGAGCCAACUGAAUUGAGUGCUAGGAACUGAACACUGGUCCUUUGCAAGAGUGAUAUGCUCAUCUUAGCUUCUUAACCAAAUUUCCAGCCCCUCUUUUGAAUAUUUAAUUUUUUCAUUGUAAAAAACUAAAUUCCUUUGCCUCUUUUGAUAGUAUACUUCUACCUAUUUUAUUUGGUGUCAUUUUAUCGAUUGAUUUUUGUUUGUUUAUUAUUUAUUUAUUUGGGGUUUUGAGACAGGAUCUCGUAGAGCUCAGGCUGUGUUUAAGGUAAAGUCUGGACUGAAUUUCUGAUCCCACUAGUCCACUUUGAAUUACAGACAUUGCCACCACAUCCUGCUUUCUUUGUUUCUAUUGGAAACUGUGUGGGUGACUUUUUUUUUAUCUGCUUUCACUCUGUCUUGGAGGUUUAUUCUUUGGUAUAUAGAAAAGGUGCUAUUUUUGAUGUGUUGAUUUUAUUUUCUACCACUUUGAUGAAAGUAUUCAUUAGACUUUAAGAGUUUUCUAGUGCAUCUCUGGGAACUUCCUUAAAUCUUCUACUUGUUUGUUUUUGAGACAGAGUUAUUCUGUGUCAUAGCCAUGGCUGUCCUGUAAUUUGCUCGAUAGACCACGCUGACCUUGAACUCACAGAGCUCUGCCUGCCUGCCUGCCUAUGCUACCGAACUGAUGGAAUUAAAGGAGAAUUUCUGAACCCUCUCCUUUGUCCUAUUGACUGACUCUGGGCUGCUGACUGUGUGGAGUAAAAUCUCUAAACUUUGUCUCCUGCUUGCCUUUCACCCACAGGGUUCAGCAAUCAGCCCCAUACCUAUCACCAUGCACAAAACUAAAGUCCAAAUGGAUCAAAGACUUCAACAUAAAGCCAGCCACACUGAAACUCAUACAAGAGAAAGUGGGAAGUACACUUGAACGCAUUGGCACAGGAGACCACUUCCUAAAUAGAACCCAGGUAGCACAGACACAGAGAUACAAUUAAUAAAUGGGACCUCCUGAAACUGAAAAUCUUCUGUAAAGCAAAGGACACAGUCAAGAAGACAAAACGGCAACCUUCAGAAAAGAUCUUCACCAACCUCACAUCAGACAGAGGACUGAUAUUUUUUUCUCUUUUGUACAUAUACAUUUUCUUUUGUAGAUUUAUAAAGAGCACACACCAAACUGUGAAUUUUAAAAGAAGAGAAAUCAUUUCUACCCGGAGAGAAUCUCCUCUCUGGUACCAGUGCUGCAGAUCAGAGAAUGAAGAGAGCAGCCGAAAUCAGAGGAUUCAGUCUUUCCUGGUUCUGUGGAGGAUGCUCAUAGAUGGAUGCUCAGCCUGGAUGAGAGAUUAGAACGCAAUAAAACAUUGCUUGAGAAGAUGCCUGUGGGAGACCUUCAAAUACCAGCAGAGCAAUGACUCACAAAGCCACGCCGGCAAGAAAGAGGGUCUAGGCAGCUCCGCUGCACCUAGUAAUAAUGUCCUUCAGGCGCUAUAAUGCAUUUUAAGAACAGGGCUUACACAGAAUCCCCCUUUGAAAUACCGUGAAGGGAUUGAAAGUGGUGUCGUUUCCUUUUAGGGUGACACUGAAAGUCUGUGACGUAUCUGGGAAUUUUGUUGGAAAAUUCAUGUUUCAGGGGGUACAUUUUUCCAAAUAUUAAUUUAAUGAUACUGUACUGUUAUAUUAUUAUAGAUACACUUCCAAGCUGGAUUUUAGAACGAUGAUGUUUUAUAAUGAUGAUUGGCACUAACCUAUUCUAGAUUUAUGGGUAAUGAAUCAAUCUGAACUAGACAGCCUUUUAAAAUUACGCAGUUUUGCUAUUUUCUUUUGUUUUUCUUUUUAGUAUUGUACUUGAUAAAUAGAAUUCAUGAGUACUGCAUGAAAUUCCAUAAAGAUAUGAAUUUAUUUUAAUAAAGUUUUUUAUGUAUACCACAAGAAUAGCUAUACCCUGUAUUACAGGAUAAAAUUCGUUUGACAGUGUUCAACAAAUGGCUCAAUUAUGUGAUUUCCUGCCAAGGAAAACAUAUUAAUCUGCAAAGUUGAAAUCUGUUUUCAAGAUGAUAUACAAUUUGAGGCUGGCAUUGGGACUGUUUGUCUAAGUACAUUGAAUUUAUAGCAUAUUUUUCAUUCUCUGUACAUGAACCUAAAUUAUGAAAAGCAUCAUCUAGAAAAUACUAAUGGAUUUCCCGUUUCAAGGAAAGAAAAUUGGAAUUCUGAAGAAAUAAAAUGUUUUCCCUAAUUUAUCUUGAAAAAUUAGAGUAAUAAUGUAGGUGUCUUAAUUCAUGUUUAAUUUCUUUGUGUCUGGCUCUAUUUUACUUGCAUAUUACAAUUAAUGUCUUAGGACUGUUGGCUCAGGGAGGCUAUCUCAGAAAAUGUUAAUAUCCUCCAUGAACAUUAAUAUUGCUGUUCUACUAGAAAGAUUUGAAAGGACUUAAUGGAUAUAUUUUGAACUAGACACUUAAAGGCUAAAUUAAAAAUAAUAGAAGUGAUUAUGUGAGACAUGUUUAUUUUCUCAGCACCAUCAAUUUAUGGUUUGUGAACUUCUCCUCUUAGAGUCUAUCUAUAAAUAUUUUAUCCUUAAAUAUUUGU